This 450-nucleotide ribosomal RNA is filed under the name uncultured bacterium. Its description in RNAcentral is "bacterial SSU rRNA". It matches the Rfam family "Bacterial small subunit ribosomal RNA", at positions 354 to 796 of the family's 1533-position model. The record is from RNAcentral.
GUGGGGAAUAUUGGACAAUGGGCGAAAGCCUGAUCCAGCCAUGCCGCGUGUGUGAAGAAGGUCUUCGGAUUGUAAAGCACUUUAAGUUGGGAGGAAGGGCAGUAAGUUAAUACCUUGCUGUUUUGACGUUACCGACAGAAUAAGCACCGGCUAACUUCGUGCCAGCAGCCGCGGUAAUACGAAGGGUGCAAGCGUUAAUCGGAAUUACUGGGCGUAAAGCGCGCGUAGGAGGUUUUGUAAGUUGGAGGUGAAAUCCCCGGGCUCAACCUGGGAACUGCCUCCAAAACUGCAUGACUAGAGUACGGUAGAGGGUAGUGGAAUUUCCUGUGUAGCGGUGAAAUGCGUAGAUAUAGGAAGGAACACCAGUGGCGAAGGCGACUACCUGGACUGAUACUGACACUGAGGUGCGAAAGCGUGGGGAGCAAACAGGAUUAGAAACCCCUGUAGUCC